RNAcentral lists this ribosomal RNA (253 nucleotides) under uncultured bacterium. RNAcentral's name for it is "partial 16S ribosomal RNA". It matches the Rfam family "Bacterial small subunit ribosomal RNA", at positions 524 to 776 of the family's 1533-position model. The record is from RNAcentral.
GACGUAGGGUGCAAGCGUUGUCCGGAUUUAUUGGGCGUAAAGAGCUCGUAGGCGGCUUGUUGCGUCGACUGUGAAAACCCGCGGCUUAACUGCGGGCUUGCAGUCGAUACGGGCAGGCUAGAGUUCGGUAGGGGAGACUGGAAUUCCUGGUGUAGCAGUGAAAUGCGUAGAUAUCAGGAGGAAUACCGAUGGCGAAGGCAGGUCUCUGGGCUGACACUGACGCUCAUGCACGAAAGCGUGGGGAGCAAACAGG